This 105-nucleotide small nuclear RNA is filed under the name Meriones unguiculatus (Mongolian gerbil). Lineage: Eukaryota; Metazoa; Chordata; Mammalia; Rodentia; Muridae. The record is from RNAcentral.
UUUCUUUGACAAAACAUAUACUAAAAUUGUAAUGACUCAGAAAGAGGAUUAGCAUGGGUUCUGAGCAAGGAAGACACAUAAGCUUGGGAAAGCCUUCUUAUCUUU